Molecule: long non-coding RNA, 88 nt
Organism: Maniola jurtina (meadow brown)
Lineage: Eukaryota; Metazoa; Arthropoda; Insecta; Lepidoptera; Nymphalidae
Exons: 3
Source: RefSeq, a predicted model, not a curated record
UUUUUUUUUUUUUUAAUGUGUUCCUUCCUUUUUUCCUCCAAUAUGGCGGUCGGAGACUGUUGUAGGUCGUAAAUAUUACAAAAAUUUU